Oleoguttula sp. CCFEE 5521 is the source of this 71-nucleotide non-coding RNA. NCBI's taxonomy places the organism in Eukaryota, Fungi, Ascomycota, Dothideomycetes, Mycosphaerellales, Teratosphaeriaceae. The record is from the annotation of a GenBank genome assembly.
GCUGGCCCAAUGGCAAGGCGCUUGACUACGAAUCAAGAGAUUGCAGGUUGUGAGUUCAAUCCGCAUCAACU